This 301-nucleotide ribosomal RNA is filed under the name uncultured bacterium. RNAcentral describes it as "partial 16S ribosomal RNA". It matches the Rfam family "Bacterial small subunit ribosomal RNA", at positions 509 to 809 of the family's 1533-position model. The record is from RNAcentral.
CAGUAGCCGCGAGAAUACGAAGGGUGCAAGCGUUAAUCGGAAUUACUGGGCGUAAAGCGUGCGUAGGCGGUUUGUUAAGUCUGUUGUGAAAUCCCCGGGCUCAACCUGGGAAUGGCAAUGGAUACUGGCAAGCUAGAGUGUGUCAGAGGAUGGUGGAAUUCCCGGUGUAGCGGUGAAAUGCGUAGAGAUCGGGAGGAACAUCAGUGGCGAAGGCGGCCAUCUGGGACAACACUGACGCUGAGGCACGAAAGCGUGGGGAGCAAACAGGAUUAGAUACCCCCGUAGUCCCUGUCUCUUAUAU